Molecule: ribosomal RNA, 158 nt
Filed under: uncultured bacterium
Lineage: Bacteria
Description: partial 16S ribosomal RNA
Rfam family: Bacterial small subunit ribosomal RNA
Source: RNAcentral
UCGUAGGUCAGCAUACUACGGUGAAUACGUUCCCGGGCCUUGUACACACCGCCCGUCAAACCAUGAGAGUUGGCAACACCGAAGUCGGUAGUCUAACCGCAAGGAGGACGCCGCCGAAGGUGGGGUUGAUGAUUAGGGUUAAGUCGUAACAAGGUACC